This 1119-nucleotide long non-coding RNA is filed under the name Piliocolobus tephrosceles (Ugandan red Colobus). RNAcentral's name for it is "lncRNA (ENSPTEG00000011270.1)". Lineage: Eukaryota; Metazoa; Chordata; Mammalia; Primates; Cercopithecidae. The record is from RNAcentral.
UAUUAAUUUUUUUUUUUUUUUUUUUUUUUUUUUCAUCCUUUUUUAAGUAGAAUAGUCGUUUUAGUAAAAUUAAAAACAUAAAACCUUUCCAGUUUUAUUUAUUCCCAAGUUCUGCAAAAAAUAUAUUAUUACAACCCUUUGAAAAUGGACAAAUAAAAAAUUAUUUUUUUUUUCGUUUGCUAUCACGUAUAUGUGUUAGUAUCAGUCAGUCUUUUUCAAUAAAUGCCAGAAUUUGUUUGUAUAAAAAAAAAAAUAUGAACAGUUCAUCUUUAACACAAGUAUUAAUAAAUAAUGAAAUAUUAAUAAAGGUAUUAAAAAUCUGUUGGCUAUUUAAAUUAAGUCGUUUGGUUGAUAAUAAUAUAAGGCUAUGUAGGUACUUGUCAAGUUUGUUUCACAUUAUUAGCAUAUAUAUAGAUAUAUUUUUAGCGUUCGAUUACUCAAACUCAUAUUUAAAUAAGUAUAUAAAUAAUCUAUAUGUUUACUAUAUACUAUAUUCUACAUCAUCUAUAUUAAAAAAUUUAAGCAUUAUGACAUACGCGUCUAUUAAACCUAGUAUUAAUCUGCGCGUGAGCGAAUCGUUGUCAAAAGGCGUGACAGCUGGAAAGGUAUCCAAAAACCAUGUAACUGAUAAGAAAAAUAACAACAAAGUAAUUAGUGAUAUACCUAUUAACGAAACAAGCAGUUUAUUCAAAACCAACACAGGUGACGAAAAUGCAUCAUCCUUUGUUAAUAAACUUAAUAAAAUUCAUGAAAAAAAAAAUAUAUCUGAUAACAAAACAAAUACUGAUAAUAUAAAAGAAACUAAUUUAUCAUUUCUUAAAGGCCUAAAAAAUCUUGAAUUCAUUACUAAUAAAUUAAAAAAAAAUGAAAAAAAAAAAAAUUACAAAAUUAGUAAUAAUAUUAGUAAUACUGCUAAUAAUAAAGAGAAUAAUAGUAGCAAAACUUAUCCACAAACAAAAAUUGUUACUAUAGGAGAGGUAAGUGUAACAUCAGAAUUACUUUCCACCGCAGUUGAUUUUUUAACGGUUAUUUUAUCUUCACAUGUAACGAAACUAAUAAAACAAAAGUUAUGUUUCUACAUUUUUAUAUCAUCUCUACAUAUUUUCUGUUCAUAUAAAG